GACGAAGGGGGCUAGCGUUGUUCGGAAUUACUGGGCGUAAAGCGCGUGUGGGCGGUUGUUCAAGUCAGGUGUGAAAGCCUUGAGCUCAACUCAAGAAAUGCACUUGAUACUGGAUGACUAGAGGACCGGAGAGGAUAGUGGAAUUCCCAGUGUAGUGGUGAAAUACGUAGAGAUUGGGAAGAACACCAGUGGCGAAGGCGGCUAUCUGGACGGUUUCUGACGCUAAGACGCGAAAGCGUGGGGAGCAAACAGG
Molecule: ribosomal RNA, 253 nt
Filed under: uncultured bacterium
Lineage: Bacteria
Description: partial 16S ribosomal RNA
Rfam family: Bacterial small subunit ribosomal RNA
Source: RNAcentral